GCCUGCUAGCCGCAGUAUUUUGACUGUGCUAAGGUAGCAUAAUCAUUAGUCUUUUAAUUGAAGGCUGGUAUGAAUGGCAAGACGAGAAAAAAGCUGUCUUUGAAUUUCAUUUUUUAGUGCAAAAGCUAAAAUAAUUUUAAAGGACGAUCAGACCCUAUGGAGUUUUUUUGUUGGGGCGACAAUACUUGAUCCCUAAAGUGGGAUUAAAAGACUAAGUUACCCUAGGGAUAACAGCAUAAUCUUUUUGGAGAGUUCUUAUCGAUAAAAAGGUUUGUGACCUCGAUGUUGGAUUAAGAGUUUAGUGGGGGGCAGUAAUUCCACUGUAAAGUCUGUUCGACUUUUAAUAUCUU
Molecule: ribosomal RNA, 350 nt
Filed under: Moina sp. 1 JRdW-2005
Lineage: Eukaryota; Metazoa; Arthropoda; Branchiopoda; Diplostraca; Moinidae
Description: partial 16S ribosomal RNA
Rfam family: Bacterial large subunit ribosomal RNA
Source: RNAcentral